RNAcentral lists this long non-coding RNA (36686 nucleotides) under Marmota monax (woodchuck). The record is from RNAcentral. Lineage: Eukaryota; Metazoa; Chordata; Mammalia; Rodentia; Sciuridae.
CAAUCGACUGCGCUCUCUGCUACGUGUGACGCCACACGUAGCGGCCAAGAUGGCGCUGGUAUCUGGAGCUGAGGCUUCUUGGCGACCUUUACUCCAGCGAGGUUAGGUACAUAGCUUCGUUUCUGAAGGGCGAUUGAGGAUUAGGAUCAGAUUCCUCAGCGUCGUGGGGGCAAAUAUCAGUGUCCUCCAGCCGCCUAGACGACCACUCGAGAAGAGAUAGUCCACGCUUUACGAGAACAGUGAACAUCGCAGAGAUCCUGCCCCGAUCUCGGGGUAACCGAGUUGCGAGUAGAGAAGGAGAACCGGAGGUUUUUCGACCGGGUUCCUGCAUACGUGAAGUGGGAAUGAUAAUGGUAUCUGGCGCUAUAUCUGUCAAAGGAAAGAAGCAGAAGGGGUUUAUUUGAGGCACUACAACGUGGUAGGUUCACCCUCAGCCUUUGGUCUUGUUUAAUCACUCAACAAUUUUGUAAAGGUCUUGUCACCCCAUACUUUACAGAUAGAAAAGCGCCCAGUAUAUUGUUAUUCAGGGCCGUGAGAUCGAAGCCAGUGCCUGGUAUUUUUGAAGAUUCUAGCAAAUUUUGUGGUUGUCCUCCCUCUAAAUUUUGCCCUUAUGGUAAUAUAGGAUGCGGUAGAAAUGCUUAAGUCAAAAGGAGUUUUUAUUAUGGAUUCUGCUAUUUCCAUUCCUUCUCAAAAAAUAGAGUUGCGGCUGAGCAAGCAGCUGAGUGGUAGAGUGCGGGAGGUCCUCGGUUUGAUUCCCCAGCUCCGCGGAGGGAAAAAAAGAAGAAAGGAAAGUAGGAAGGGUUAAUACUACCCAGUGGGGAUGUUGUGAUACACAACUUAGAUAAAAGUUUUUUUUAUAUAUAAAUUAUGAACCAGUAUGAAUAAAUGUGUGAGAUCAUUGGUGUUGGAGGAUAGGAAGAGAAAAUAAGUGACAGCAUUUAAAUUUCCUACCCUACCUUACCCUUCCUCUUUGAUCUUCCAGUACAUUUGUUUGAGGCCAGUAGCUUAAGAAUUCUUGGUAAGAUGGUAAAUGAAAUCUUAAUAGAAGACUUCGUAAAAUUUAACAUACAUUCUUGGAUUUGAGCCUUGCAACAUCUCAGGCAAUUGUAAUUAAGGUCCAAUUAAGGGCUGGGGAUGUGGCUCAAGCGGUAGCGCGCUAGCCUGGCAUGCCUGCGGCCGUGUUGUGUCCGCCGAGAACUAAAAAAUAAAUAUUAAAAAAAAAAUCUCUCUCUCUCUCUCUCAAAAAAAAAAAAAAAUCCAAUUAAUUAAUUGGGGUUGUGGCUCAGUGGUAGAGCACUUUCCUAGCAUGCAUGAGUCUCUGGGUUCCAUCUCUGGCACCACAUAAAAAUAAAUAAAAUGAAGGUACUGUGUCCAUCUACAAUUUAUAUAUCCCCCAUGCUAUGAAUGAAACUGGAACUCAUCCAGUUUCACACAGCUAGGAAUUGAUAACUGGGCUGUGUAACCCCAAGUCUUUUGGAACUCCAAGUGUCCUUUCUGUACAAGGAAUAUCAAAAUGGCAGAAAUGGAAAUAUAAGGACUUAUAAAAACAGAGCCUUACAUGAGAAGCACCAUUUAAGUGAAUGUGGUUACCUGCAUUUGCUAGGUGCCAACCAUUUUUCUAAACAAUUUAAAGUUAGUAUAGUUACCAACCACUUCUUGAGGUAGAAACUGUUAUCCCUAAUUACAGUUAAGGCAACUGAGGCAGAAGAAGGAGGUUAAAUAGCUUGAUAAAGGUCAGACGUAGUUUUUAACGAGCUCCUAAGUGAUGGUGCUGUCAACCACUACUUUCUACCUCACUCCCCUUUUUUCCUAAUAAUUUUUAUUUAUUUAUUUUACUUUUUUUUGCAAUCAGAAACUACUGUUUACAUUUUGUCUCUAGCUGCUUCAUAAUAUUUUCUUCUUAAAGGAUCAGACUCAAACUACCCUCAAAAAACUUUCCCUACCCCUACCAUUCCCUAUAGGAUGAAACAGGCAGUCAAUCCCAUGUCUGUCCCCACAUCACUUACUACACACGUCAUUACAAAGCGCAGAACACUAAUUUAUGGUCAUUUGAAAAUUCCUGACUAUAGAUAACAAUUUUUUUAAGGCAAGGGGCCCACCAGAUCUGUGUACUCUUGUGCCUAACACAUAACUAAAAUGUAUCCAGGGCUUUCUCUGUUCCAGGUGCCUCAUACUAGCCCCAUUUUAUGAAUGAAGAAAUUAAGCCAUAGAAUGUUUAAAUAACUUGCCCAAGGUAACAGGCUAGUAAUUAGCAAAACCAUGAUUUCAUGUGAAGGUACUUUGGCUCCAGGAAGUGUGUGGUCAAUAAAAUGAGAGUCACCCUACACUUACAAAGAAAAAACUUAAGUGUUUUGUUUGUUUGUUUUGUUGGUUUUUUUUUUUUUUUGGGGGGGGGGGGGGGGGGGGUGGGUGUGAUGCUGGGGAUUGAACCCAGGGCCUUGUGCAUGCAAGGCAAGCACUCUACCAACUGAGCUAUAUCUCCAGGCCCCAAAACUAAGAUUUAAUUAUCCUAUUAGACACAAAUAAUUAUAACUACCUCUAGCCUGGGAAAAUGUACAAAAGCAUAAUACCUGUAUAAGCUUCAUUCCCCUACUAACUAAGCAGCUUGGCCUUAAAUUUCAAGAUGCCUUCUAUCUACCACUCUUUUAUUGUCAUGCUAUAUUGGUAAAGGUAGAUCUCACCAUUAUGACAAAAGUGUCUGUGAAAGGCAAAUUAGAAUGGGUAAGUCCUUAGAGAUUUGUUUCUACAUUUUAAAAAAAGAAAAGAAAAAUCAGUUAUGGUCGUGGAUGCCAUUAAUUAAGCAGCUUGGGAAGCUGAGGCAGGAUGAUCACAAGUUUAAGGCCAGUCUGGGCAACUUAGCAAGACUCGUCUAAAAAUAAAAAAAGACUGGGAAUGUGGCUCAGUGGUAUAAUGUCCCUGGAUUCAAUCCUCAGUACUGAAAAAAUAUAAUGAGAUCUGAAGAAGUCAACAGUUUAACCAAAGUCAAUGGGAAUUUCAUGGCAGUACUGGAGCUGGACUUUGUUGACUGCUCUUCUCUAUACAAUAUGGCCCUUAAAUUCUUACUUUUAGGAAGUUUAUUACCACACUGAUAAUAGCCAAAGUGUGUACUAAGAAUGGAAAUAGCAAGACAAAAGAGUAGAAUAUCAAAUAUUAGAUAACAUAAGUAGAUCCAGGAGACAGAAAAAAAUAAACUGGAGAUACCUUAGAAUUACAUGCCCAGGUUCAAAGGAUUAUCAAAAACAAUUCUGAACAAUCUAAAAUGGAUCGGAAAGUAAUUAUCAGUUGUCUUCAUUCAGCACCCUCGCCUUCCAUUGAAUUUUUGUAGUUUCUGCUUCCCAAAUAGCAAGCUUCAUUAUUUUAGUGGAGUGACAGGUCCUUAUCACCUAUGUGGAUUGGGCUUUUUACAAACCCUUUUCCUUCACAGGAACUUCAGUGUAGCCUUUGCCCAGUACAUCCACCAUAUUGCUACGGCUGUCAGAGUGAGCAGUCAAAAACUCAUUGUAUCAGUUCUCUUAAAUUUUUCCAUGACUCCUAAUUACCAACAAAAUAAAAAUUAUAGUGUUUUUUGCAAGCAAGCCUGUGCUAGCUGUAUAUCUCACCUUUUCCUAGAGCACUGCUGCCACCUCUUUACCUUGUCUAGAAUCUUGCAUUUUCCUUAAAUUCAUUGGUUCUCUUGAAGUUCUUUUGAGACUUCUUCCUGCUCUCCCACCUUCCAUGUCUUGAACCAGGAAUAAAAAUUGACAUUCUUGUAACUUCUCACUACGAUAUCCAAACCAAUCUACAUUGAGGCUUUCACCAUUAAGCCAUGUAAUCUCCAUUCCUUCACUGUUAGGGAGAAGAUUUUUGACAAGUGUGCUAUCAUCAGCUUAAGUUGCUUCAUUGUCCACUGUGACCUUAACACCAGUAUAAAAGCCUUUCAUUACUGCUGCUGUUCAUUUCUGGGACCAUAUCUUGCACUUUGUUCUCCUGAACUGUUCUGAAUAUCAGCAGCCAUGGCAGUUCAUGUUCUAAACAAAUCCUUCUUUUAUUUCAGAUUUCUUAGUCCUUUGCACUCACCAAACCUGCUCUUCAACUUCAGUGAAAUCUGCUGGCUUACAGUUUUCCUAGUUCUCCAAGUCUGUUCCCCUUCACUGGAUUUACUUCUUCCCAUUCUAUCCUGGACCCUACAGUCAUUUAUUUCAAACUCAAGUCUUUUCAACACUUUUCAAUGUCUCUCUCCUUCCACAUUGACCCUAAAACAGACCUUAACUACAGGUCAGUUUCUUCCUUACAUCCUUGCCCCUUAUGUAUAGAACUAUUAACCAUUAGUGCAUCAUAAAUUAUCCCAAAUUUUAGGGGCUUAACAACAUUUAAUAUGUGUAUUAUAAAUUUCAUACUGUUUUUGCAAUUUCUGUUGGAAUCAAAAGUGGCUUAGCAUAGGGCAGAGGGGUGGGAAGGAAAGGGAAGGGGCAGGGGAUUAGCAAGGAUAGUGGAAUGUGUUGGACAUCAUUAUCCAAAGUACAUGUAUGAAGACACAAAUUGGUGUCAACAUACUUUAUAUACAACCGGAGAUACGAAAAAUUGUGCUGUAUAUGUGUAAUAAGAAUUGUAAUGCAUUCGCUGUCAUUUAAUUUUUAGAAAAAUCAAUAAAAAAAUAAAUCGAAACAAAAAGUGACUCAGCUAGGUGAUUUUUGCUCAGGUCUCUCAAGAGUUUGCAGUCAUCUGAGCCUAAUAGACUGGAGGGUCAGUUUCCAAAGCAGCUCACUCAGUGUGGUUGGCAAGUUAGAAAGGCAAGAGGUCUCAGUUCCUUAGUAAGUGGAUCUCCCUACAAGGUUGAGCAUUUUCAGGAUGUGGUAGCUGAGUUGCCCCAGAACAGUGAUCCAAAAAAGAACAGUAUAAAAGCUACAGUAUCACAAUGUGUACAUAUGUAGGAAUAUAUGAUAUAAAAUGAAGUUUAUAUAUACAUGCAUAAAUGGAUAUAACACAUCCCCUGAAAGGGAAUUUGUACAAAGCAGAAAAGCUAGAAAAACUUGAUGGGAACAAGUUGAAAGAGCAUUAGAUAGCAUUUGCCAGGUGCGGUGGUUCACUCCCGUAAUACCAGUGGCUUGGGAGGCUGAGACAGGAAGAUUUCCAGUUCAAAGGUAGCCUUAGCGGGGGGGAAAGCAUGGCACUAAGCAACUUAGUGAGACCCUAUCUCUAAAUAAAAUACAAAAUAGGGCUUAGGAUGGGCUCAGUGAUCAAGUGCUCCUGAGUUCAGUCCCCAGUAACCCCCCAAAAAAAAAAAAUGUGUGUGUGUGUGUGUUAGAUAGCAUUUAUUGAAGACCCAUUAUAAAAGAAUAACUGGUGUGCAUCUCAUUUAAACCUUAUGCUGUCCCUAAGAUAUUAGUAAUUAUUGUUCAUUUUACACCUGAGGAACCAAGCCCUAGACAAAAAAAUUAUUCAUCCAAAGUCACGUAUCUCCGAAGACUCUUCCCAAGAACACACAGAUAUUAAGGAAUUCUAGCUAUCCACGUUUGCCUAACAAACCAUUGCUCACAAAUUUCUAAUUUGAGUAGGGCUUUGUAGGGUUAAUUAACCUCUACUCACAUCAUCUGGACCAGUCUGAAGGCUGAGAGAUGAGGUAUGGAAUCAUCUAAGAGCUCUUUUAUUUCUAUAAUCAACGUAGGCUGUUGACUGGAAUCUGGUGAGGUUAUCAGCUGAAACAUCUGUUUGUGGCAUCUCCAUAUGAGGUAGGCUUCUUUACAACAUAUGGGCAGGUUCCAAGGCAAGUGACCAGAGAGAGAAAGAUGAGGAAAUUAUCAUUUUUAUAAUGAAACUCUGGAGGCAAUUUAGCCUUAUUUCUACCAUAUUUAUUAGAACAGUCAAGCCUACCUAGAUUCAAGGAAAAGGAAAAUAGAUUCCAUCUCUUGAUGGAAGUGUGGUAGAAUUCAUAAAGACCAUGUGGGACCAGGACUAUUACUGUGGCCAUUUUUAGAAAAUAUCAACUGCCACAGUUCGUAACAAUUUAUAUCCUCCCCUACAUGCAAAAAUAGUCCUUCAAUUUCCUUUACCCAGGAUCCCUCAGAGUUUCUUCCCAUUAUGGCAGAAGACUUAGGCUUGAGGACCAGGAUUCUGUCAUCUAAAUCAGGGCCGGGUGUAGGUGAGAUUUCUCAGAUGUAGUUCCUCUCCCUGUGAAGACCUGAGAACUAAAGAGACUUUUCACUAUACAUCCAACAUACAAUGGUGGAACAGCCAUAGGAUAACCACUUUACACAUUUAUGUUAAAAAGGGAAGCAAAGGCACACAGAGUCAUUGGACCAUAAUAAUUCUGAAACUUUCUCUAAUAAGGGCUCAAGUCUUAUGGCCUAUGCAUGAUCCUCUGCAGCUCUUGAUUCCACCUUUAGUACUUUGUGAGUUCAGCUUUCUGAGUCAUUCUUUUUCCAUUUAAAAAAAAAAAAAAGCUGAUGUUUGAAGCCAAGUAAUUUCUCAUUCUUCCAGCUCAGAGAAGUUCAGGAAUCCAAAGGCCAAUUUUCUUUUUAAGCAUUCUGUUGCUUUUGAUCUAAAUGUGAAGUAUUUACUUGGAUACAAUUCUCUUUAAAAGUUUGUUUAGUUGUUUUGUUUGCAGUACUGGGGAUCAAACCCACAGCUCACACAUGCUGGGCAAGUCCUCUACCAAGGCUACAUCUCCAACCCUGAAUCUUUCUAACAAACCAUAUGAAAAACCCACUAACAAACCUCAAGAUAAACUCUUCUGAAUCUUGCUCUUCCUGUAAGGGUAUUGUGGGGCAAUAAGCUUAACAUUUAUUACAAUUUUAUUAUUUAUUAAAGAUCUUCAAGGCAUACUUCUAAGAUCCUCAGCAGGGAGCUGGGCUGUAUGUAGCUCAGUGGCAGAGCUGCUUACCUAGCAUGUAUGAGGCACUAUGUUCAAUCCUUAGCACCACAUAAAAAUAAACAAAUACAAUAAAAGCAUUCUGUCCAUCUUCAACUACAAAAAAAAAAAAUUUAAAAACAAAAAAGAUCAUCAGCAGGACUUUUGUCUGAAGCGCCACCAUAACUGAGGUCAUGCCCUUGACUUUACCUUUAGACCAUGUUGUCCCAAUAGCACCCAAGAUUUAAUCUCCAUCCAGAAGUAAUUUCUUAAUUUUAAUAUCAUCUGCCUUCUGUAGAAGCUAAGAAUGAUAAAUUUUUAUUUUUAAAAUUACCAAGUCCUGGCUCCCUUAUCAUUUUUUUGAAUACUUUUAGUUGUAGAAGAACACAAUACCUUUAUUUAAUUUAUUUAAAUGUGAUGCUGAGGAUCUAUCCAAAUGCCUCACAUAUACUAGGCAAGCAACCCCAACCCCUCCCUUAUCCCUAAUAGUUUAUUCUUUCUUUCUCUCUACUUUGUUUAGAAAGCUUAUCAAUAAGGCCAUCUAAUCCAUUAGGCACAUUUUUUAUUUCCAUGUUAUCACAAGUGACAAUAUCACUAGAAUUUCUUCUUUUUUUCCCUUUUGCAAAAAACUGAGGAUUUUUUUCCUUUGCUGUACUGAGGAUUGAACCCAGACUAGACAAGCUUUCUGCCACUGAGCUACAACUACCACCCCUUUUGUUUUUUGAGACAGUCUCACUAAGUUAAUCAGGCUGGCCUCAAAUUUAUGAACCUCCUACCUUAGUAGCUGAGAUUACAGGUGUGCUGUACUAUGCCCAGCUGCUGACAGCCCUUUUGAAGACCUUUAGGUUUUCUCCAAGACAAUCCACUAACACUGGUCACAAAACUGUAUCUUAGAUAUAUAUUAUAAGAGUAUUCCACUCCUGGUAUCAAAAUUUGACCUGGUGAUCAAUUGCUGCAUAACAAAACAAAAUUUUUUGGCCCCAAAUAGUAAGAUUUAUUUUCACCCAAGAAUCUGAAAUUUGAUCAGGGUUUGGCAGGAACAUUGGCCAUUUUUAGGAAAUGCAAACUGCAACAGUCAAACCAAGAUUUAAAGUUAGAUCUGAUUUCAGAAACACAUGGUUUUCCCACUGUAUCUGCAUGAUACAAUUGUCUUGCUUUUUAGAUGGAUGAAUAUUAAAUUUUAAAACCAAAAUGAUCUGUGUGCAAAAGAAGAAUUAAAGGGGGAAAGAUAUAAUCUGAAAACAAACUACACAGAACUGCCAACCAGCUCCAUACUAAUAUGGUGAAAGCAGUUAGUCUCUGCUUUUACUUUGCUGUAAAAAAGAAUUGCGUUGUAUAAGCAAGGGAGUAAUUCUUUAAGGUUAGGUGUGUCAUUUCUCUCCUAAAAAAUGAUUUCAGUUAAACAUUAAAGAAUUUGCAUAUUAGUAAAGUUCAUUUUUUGUUUAUUAUUGAGUACUCACUGGGUGAAGCAGUGUGCCUGACUCUGGAGAACAGAUUAAUAAACUGCCUUUUGAGAUCUCAUAAUUUACAGAGGGGAGACAGAUGUAUAGAUAAUUGCCAUAGAGAUGGUGUCUGUGGUUUUAUGAAGUUGUGAGUAAAAGAGUUAAGGAGCCACUCACUCUUCUGGGAGCUAGCAAGAAAAAGUUACCAAAAAGACAACACAUAAGCAGGGCCUUAACAGAUAGGAUUAAAUAAAGAACAGAUACUCAAAGCAGAGAAAGAAAUAGCAAUGGCAGAUUCACAAGCAUAAACACUGGAAUUUGGGGGAAACACAAACACAAACAUUUCAGUUUAGUCAGGGAUUUUUGAGUCGCCUCAUCACUAAUCAGAGAUGAAAGUUCUGACUCUCACUAAGCCUUAUCUGAUACCUUCCCACCAGAGAAGGGGAGGGGCACUACAUUACCACCAGGUGCAGAUAGAAAUCCAUGGUCUACAUGUGGCAUUUAUUGAGAGGGAAAGGGGGAAGUAUUGAGAGAAGGCCUUGCUACUGCUCUUUGGGUUUUAUAUAUAUAUAUAUAUAUAUAUAUAUAUAUAUAUAUAUAUAUAUAUAUGUAGUUGGACACAAUACCUUUAUUUUAUUUGUUUAUUUUUAUGUGGUGCGGGGGAUUUGAACCCAGUGCCUCACGCAUGUUAGACAAGCACUCUACCACUGAGCCACAGCCCCAUCCCUUGCUACUACCCUUUGAGAAUGAUAGUCCAAGCUUCCCUCUGUCUUCUCUGACAUGAACACAGGAGUGGGGAGAGGGAAUUAUUUCAUUUCAGCCUGGCUAGGGUUUGGCCUUUGUGGGGGAAGAGGGUGUUCUGUUGUAUUCAGCUGGAGUAAAGCACUUAUAGUCUUAGCAGUUUUCUGUCUUGUGAGGCUGCUCCUUUCCUAAAGUUUCUUUUACAAGAGAGAGCUAGACUUCUCAAGGCUUUAAAAAAAAAAAAUCUACCCAUUGGGCAUUUCUGAGUAGUAACUUCUCCCUUGCCCACUCCAGAAUACAUGAGAUAAAAAGAAAACCCAAAGAACUCAGCACCAUGGUAUUCUUUGAGUAUUAAGUUCUGCGCUGGCCAAUCUGCUUCUCCACCUUUCAUAGUCGUUGUUGUCGUCGUUGUCUUCUUCUUUGGUAAUUAUUCGUUCUUUUUAGUUAUGCAUGACAGAAGAGUGUAUUUUGAUAUGUUUUAUAUAUAUGUCAGUGUUAUGUUUAUGUGUGUUUUACAUAUAAUAUUUUAAAUGUAAUGUCCAGGAUUUUUAAUUCUACCUAGAAAAAGAGUAGAAGUAAAUAAACUACAUCUUCCUGUAAAUGAAAGUCUCAGUUGAUUUUUCAUAAAGGUGUGAAGGCAAUGCUCUGUGCAAGAGACCUCAGAGAAUGAAAAGGCAGGCUGCAUGCAAAACACUUAACUGACAAAAAUAAACAGCCCAAUUUAAAAAUAGGUUAAAAAAAAAAAAAAAAACAACAAAAAACCUUGAAAAGACUCUUAACCAAAGAGAAAAAUAUGCACACAAAAUGUGCUGAACAUGAUAAGUUAUUAGAGAAAAGCAAAUAAAAAAAUCACUAUGUGAUGCCACUAAUAAAAUGGCUAGAAUAAAAUAUCCUGACAAUGCCAAAUUCUAGUGAGGAUGUGGAGCCACUCAUUCAUUGCUGGUGGAAUGCAAAAUGGAACAGAAGGUUCAAAAUACACUUAUGAAAUGCUGUGGGAGUAACGCCUAUAAUUCCUGCAGCGUGGGAAGCUGAGGCAGGAGGAUUGCAAGACCCUGUCUCUAAAUAAAAUAUUUUUUUAAAGGGCUGGUGAUAUAGUUCAGUGGUUAACAUCCCUGGGUUCAAAAUCCCCAGUACAAAAAAAAAAAAAAAUUAUGGGAGCAAGAAAAGGAUUUUUCCCAUCACAGAGGGCUUCGUAGCACGGUAGCAUUUAAACUGUGCCUCAUAAAAUUAUCAGGUGUUUACCAGGCAGAAGUGAGGGGAGAAUAUCAGGAGUCUCAAGGCAGGGGAGUAAGAGAUGUAAAGCACAGAAACACAAGAGGACAUAUAGCAUGGCAACCUCUAAAAGCAAAGUGAGCUGAAUGUGAUGGCACAAGCCUAUUAUUGAGAGACAUAGCAAAGAGGAUUGUGAGUUCAAGGCCAGACUGAGCAAGUUAUCUAGACCCUGUCUCAAAAAAAAAACAAAAAAAAAAAAAACAGCAUAACAUGAGGAAUGUUAGAUUCUUUGUAGUCCUCAGCUGGGAGUUUUUGCCAAAUAACUUCAAGCCCUCUAUCAAAAACUGUGAUGGACACUCCGGGAUGAAAAUCUUAGAUGUCCUCUGAGCUGGUUUCUAUGCCCUAACAGUUUCUGGGUCUGUAAUUUCCAUAGUACCUCAUGGGAGAGCACAAGACUUAAUAACACACGUGAUUGCUAUUUAAUCCUUGUUGUAACCUGAGUGGCAAGAAUUUUGCCUGUGCCUUGGACAGUGAUUUGACACUGAUUAAUGACUUGAUUAUUAGGAAGCCAAAGAGAAUUGCAAAUGAAAACAGAAAUAAAGACACAGUUUCACACAUUGAGUUUUCCCUUAGUUCAUUUUGGAAAAAAAAGGCAUUUUUUUUAAGGUUCACCCAAGUGCUAAGAUUCCUCAGGUGAAGAGCUGAUGAUAAUCAGUAAUUAUCCAAGGUGAGAUCCAAGAUAUUUCAUAAAGAUGGAAAUAAUAACCCUGUCAGAAAUGGAAAUGGAAAUCAGCUAUUAUGGGGGGAGGGACCUAUAAAUUCAAACAUAAUAUCCAACUUGUCUUCACCUCAGAGAGUUUCCAGCUGUUUAUGACGUUCUGCUAUGAUUUGCCAGAGAUGAAAUGCAUUUUUUAAAACUCUGCUGUAAGCCAGCUGAACGUAAGGCUUGGAACCAUAUUCUUUUUCAAGAAGUGUUGAGCACUUGUAAAGUCUGCAGAGAAAUGAUAGAAGGUGUCCACUUUCUUGUCAGUUCCAAUUAAGAUCUUUCCCUUGUGACCCCAGCGUUGAUCAUUAUUUUCUAAGUGAGCUAGUAGAAGAUCAGGUCAGGUCUCUCUUGGGUUGAAAGGGCACUUGUUGAGAAGCUGUGGGCUUUAAAGGUAUCACUUCAAGGCCAGCAGUUCAUAUCCAACCCUUGUUAAAGGCAGAGGUAAUAGAGGAACACACGCUUAUGGAGAGCUCAGGGAGUAUAUUGUUGAGAAAUGAUUACAGGAAGGAAAUGAUCCAAAUAAUGCUUGUAUGAGUAUGUGCACAUGCACACACAAACACAUGCACAUGCACACAAACAUCCUGCAUAUAAGGCAGUAGUAAUAGCAGUUAUCUUACCAUAUUAUGUUUAGUUGGAGACUCCUUGAGAGCAAUGACUGAAGCUUUUAAAGCUCUGAAUCCUCAGCAGUACAGAAUUAAUAAAUGGAGUGUUGAAUCUGAGAAGGCAGUGACACAGGCAUGUGGCAAUGUUUUUCCAAUAGUCACACCACCCUACCUGAGUUCCCCACAAACAGGCCUUGCCCUUCAUGCCCUACCUUGUGGCUGUAUCCCUCUCAUUCAUUCUCUUCCUAGAAUAUUUUACCACAUCCCUUCUUCCACCUCUUUGCCUUUUUAAGUCUUUCAGAAUCCUUGUUCCGUGUAGUCAUCUCACUGUCUUUUCUUUUUUAGAUUUCUUUUUUUUACCUUUCUUUUAUUUGUUUAUUUUUAUGUGGUGCCGGGGAUCAAACCAGUGCCUCACGCAUGCUAGGCAAGUGCUCUACCACUGAGCCACAACCCCAGCCCUGUCUUUUGAAAAUAAUUCUCUAAGCACUAAUGGGAGCAGGGAAUGUUCCUUAGAAGUCAGAAAGUUCUGAAUUUGAAUCCCAGUUCCACCAUUUUUCAAGUUCUUUACAUCAAGUUCAAGUUACAUAACCUCUUUAUGCUUCAAUUUCCUCCAGAUGGGUUUUUUGGAAUGAUUUUAUGUGAUAAAAUAUGUAAAGCACCUUGCUCAGUGACUGAUACAGGAUAGAUUAUCAAUGAAUAAAUGUUAGCCUUGCUCACCUUCCUGUAUGAAACCCAGGUCAGUUUAUUAAGUAUUAGUUUCCUCUGCCUAUACAUUAUUUGACACCUCUCUGGUUCCUAUCUCCAACUUCUCCAUUUCUUUAUCAGAUACAUUUACCACUUUCACCAUUCCAGAGUUCUUAUUUAUGCCUUUUUUCUGGAACUUACUUACUAUAGGCCAAUUUGUGCUGUAACUUAUUGUGUUUCCCUCCCCCAUAGACUGAAAAUGUCUCAAAGGCAAUAUCUCCAACAACUAGUAUGGGGACUAGUUUAGGAUAGACAUUCCAUAAAUGGUUGUCUAAUUGAAGUAAUAUUUAAUCCUACAUUCCACAAGGCAAAUGAACAUGUAAUGUGUCUUUUCCCAACAAGUGCUGCAUGGUCUAAGUAGCAAGGAGAAAAUUUCCUGGCAAUUAAGUGGUUUACAGUUGAUUGUAGUCCAUUCAGACCAAGUAAGCAGAGCCUCAAUUCCCAGAUGUCUUUGUCUCUCUCACUUCUAACCUAGCCAGGCCAGGGAAACAUUCCCAUAAGAGUAACCCAAAAUAUCUUCUUUUGCUGAUCUGAUUAUAGAAGAAAUACUUUCUUUGGAGAAAAUGCACAAGAGUAAAUUUUUUCUGCACUCCCCACCCCAACGAUAGAAAGUGGAGAGAGGAAAAUUGAAGCCAGGGGAAAAUCUCAACUGAAGAGAUGAAGAACAGAUAUAGCCAAGAUAACAGAUAUUGUUCUGGGUCAAAACUUCAGAGUCUAGCCAGGCAUGGUAGCACAUGCCUGUAAUCCCAGCAGCUUGGGAGGGUAAGACAGGAGGAUCACAAGUUCAAAGCCAGCCUCAGCAAAAGUGAGGCACUAAGCAACUCAGUGAGACCCUGUCUCUAAGUAAAAUACAAAAUAGAGUGGGAGAUGCGGCUCAGUGGCCAAGUGCCCCUGAGUUCAAUCUUUGGCACCCCCCAACCCCGCCUAAAAAAAACUUUAAAUAGAGUCUAAACCAUAAAGGAUUAGAUCUAUACCCCUAAAUUGAUCUUAGGAAAAGAAACAGAAGCAAAACAAAAUCUUUCCCAGAAGCUAUUUUUUGCAAUAAUAUCUGCAUUAACAACUAACUGGAAGUAAUCUAAAACUUCAAUUCAACAAAUAUUUUCUGAAAUACCAAAUACAGAGCACUGGACUUGUGGAAAUGUAAACCUAAUCUUAGUCUGUUAUUUUGUGCACUCGAUUAUUUUCUUCAUUGGGAAAGCACAGCAUUUUAGCCAGUGUUCAACUAAAGAAGCAGAACUACUGUGAGUUAAGGAAUAAAGGGUUUAUUAUUAUAAGAAUUUGAACUUUUAUGACUGUGAGAGUAGCUGGGGAAAGCAUACUCUGAAGAUAGCUGGAAGCAAGGAUCACCAACUAGUUAAUUCCAGAAGAAGCCAAGCACAACCAGCUGUCAUUUAGGGGCUAUAAAAGAAGAGUUGAUGAAACAUCUACAGAAUCUUUGGAUCCGUAGCCAAAUGUCUGGUGGUGGGCUUGAAGCAGGUCAGGAGUCAGGAAAAGCUGGGUGAGUUGAGGAAAGCGAGGACAAGCUGGAAACUUCUGUCACCUCUUCAUCUGUUACUAUUACAAACUCCCAUUAUUGUCAGAGCACAAUGGCUGUAAAUUCACUUCUCCUUCCCAAAACUCAUGCAACUAUUGCUUUUUAGUCAAUUUUAAUCAAGAACCAUACAGUUGCAGCUUACCCAAGAUGACCACACACAAAUUUCUUCCAUAACCAUAAAGUCAUUUCUAUAGUGGAAAAUAAUUCACUAAAAUGGAAAAAGUCUGGACUUUAAGUCCAUCAGGCCUGGGCUCUAAUCCUGGUUCUGUUCCUCUAGCAGUAUGACCACAGGUAAAUUCUCAUUUGGAGGACUUAAUGGAUCAGGCUUCCUUCCUCUAUGCUGCCAUAGUCCCUGUGCUUCUCUCUAUUGAAACAUUUAUUGUGGAGAGCCAUCCUCACGCGUGACUGGGUGACUCCCGGUUUGGGUCUGAGGCUUCUGGCUGUGUCGGAAUUUUCCCGGCCCUCUCCUGAUGAGAGAACCCGUCCGUGUGGGGGUGUGACUGACCACUGACCCCGGGGGCCCAAUCACUGACCCUGACCUUGGAGUGCGCCCCCCCCAACCUUCAUUGGAUGGAAUUAUCCCCUGAAUUUCUUGUUCCCCAAUAAAAGGCUACUCCCUGGCAUGCUCGCUCUCUCUCUCUCCUGCUAGCCCUGAGUAAUCCUUGCUGCCCUACGGGUGGUUCGAGGUUGGAGCCAGAGAGGGGAGCCGUCUCGGACCUGGUCAUAGAAAAAGGUAACUGAGUCUGUGUGUUUUAUUUCGAUCUCUGCUAGCUAACUUUUAUGCCAAGAACCUCAUUAAUGAAACCAAUGCACAGGCCGCAUGGUGGAAUUUAUAUUGUUUUAUUGUCAUUAUCUGUUAGUUUAUAUGUUCAUUUUAUAACAGUUCAUAGUUUUCUGUAAAUUCAAGCACAGUGGUAAUAUCUGGCUCCUCUCUGUGUUUAUCAUGUUUGAGUGCCUAGCACAGUGUAAAUGUCCAAUAGAUGUUUCCUUUGACAAUGAGUUUUUUAAACAGAGAAUAGAGGGGCUGGGUUUAUAGCUUAGUUGGUAGAGUGCUUGCCUAGUAUGCACAAGGCCCUGAGUUCAAUCCCCAGCACCACCAAAAAAAGAAAGAAAGAAAGAUUGAAACAGAAACUCAUCAGACUAUGAAGCUGGUAGUGGAACCCAGUACUAAGACAUUAAGGCAGUGAGACCCAUAUCUCUGUCACACUAUCAGCACCCUUUAAAAACAGGCUCCAGACACCCUCACCCCAUCAGUAGCUUAUGUCUUAAACCAUUCACUACAUCCUACUUCUCAACUCAUAAUCAUCCCUAUUUCAGACUCCUGGGCUUGGCUUCUGUUUAUGACCCAUUAUCACCUCUUAGACCUCUUACUUGAAAUAUUCAGGCCUUGGAUCUCUCUCAUUUGAGUUUUCGUUUUCCUCUUUGAUUACGCUAUUUUUACUUUGAUGGCAUAUUUUCCACCCCCUACCUGAGGUUCUUAGGUUAAAUACUAUGAAAGUCCUUGCCUUCGUGGAAUUCUCAGGCUGGUAAACGACAGAAAAGGAGGCCAGCAGUUUCAGGACAGUGUGGUAAGAGGUCUGGCUGAAGCAUGUCCAGAGUACUGUGGGCAUAUAGAAGAGCACCUAACCUCUCAGAGAGAAGGCUAGCCCUCAGAGGAGGGUAGUUUGAUCUGAGUCUUGAGAAAUUGCAUAGGAGGUUCUCAGGCAGAGAAAGGGAGGAUAGCCUUACAGAGAGUAGCAAUGCAGAGGUGUGAGGACAGGAGAGAUCAGAGUUUGGGGGACCACAGAUGGCUUGGUGUGGUGGGAAGAACAUGACAACAUGGUUGGCAAAUGGAGGAAGAUGACUAAAUUUCAGGUCAUGAAUGUCUUCGGUUCCAAACUAAGGAGUUCAAGCCUUACCCAGUAGGACAGAAGUUGUAAAUUAUCAAGAUGAUUUGGCCCAGAGAUGUGCUUUAUUUGCCCUACAUAAUUUUUGUUUUUUCUUGUUUUGUUAAAAUUUUUAAAUUGAGAGCUCUCAUAGGAAGUUCUGGAUCUCUACCUUCUGUAGAAAAACAAGAAGAUCUGGCCAUGCUAGACUCUCAUACAUUCCCACAUGAACUGAGUGUUGUUUGUCUUUUUAGAUCCCAUAUGUGUUUUGGAACUGCUACUCUUCACCACACCCUUUGUCAUCAUAUUUGCACUCUUGUUUUUCUUUAAAGGGAGAAAUAGUUCUGAGUACCACUGUCUCUUUGAAAAGAAGAGAAAUGGAGGUUUAGACCAAAGGAGCCAGGCAUUUCACAAAAUGGGAAAGAUGCAUGCCUCUGCAUGGAAGCAAAGAAACUCCCCGCUUUGAAAGACUUCACAUUUCUCCUAAAACCAGUUCUCUUCUUUUGUUUGUUAUCUGAAGAGUGAUGACUUCACAGGGCCACCUUACUUUCAUAAGAUCUUGCAAUACUCAGACCAUCAGGAAGGAAUGUGUCGGGUGUGCUACUCUUAAAGAAGGUGUAGGAGACAUGUACAUGUCUGGGCAGAACUUGUCGAAGAGAGGCCAGCACUCGCUCUCAGAGCCUCAAAUAAGUGAUGAAUCAAAUAGAAAGAAAUUGAGAAGACACAAAAGAGCUUGUCCUGGGCCCAAAAGCAGCUAAUGGCAGGAGUUCUCUGCAGCCAGCAACAGCCCAGAGGGAGUGCAGUACACUCCCAACCCCUGGAACUAGGGCCAAAAGACUGAGCUGCUCCCAUAUAAUUGGGGGCCUGGGAACUUCCCAGUUUUUCAGUAAGAGGGUUACUGAAUCCUUCAGGCCAACGCCCACUCCCCCUAGCCACCCCAUCCUGACAUCCUAGGACUGCACUUCAUUUCUAAGUAUCCAGCCCCCUGAGAUACUUGAACUCUUGCUUCUGCGCUCCAAACAGCUGGUGAGAGAAGGCUGCCUUGGGCUCCUUGGGGGCCUCCUGUCUUCAGUGAUGAUUCUCUGUAGCUCAGCUCUGGCAGUCUUACCUCCUCUCCCUGUGUAACUGAUCCCAGUCCUCUGGUUCUGUCAGCGCCUCUGCGAUGUAAACUAUGACAUGUGUGAGCCCCCAGCUGGGCGGGAACCCUAGAAGUGAAGUGUGAGUUUCCUCCCAGGUCAUCAAAGCUGCCUCUCUGCAGCAAGCCAGAUGUUUGGGAUCCACUAGUCUUAGAAACAGUACUUUCACCAGGGGGAUCAGGGAGAAGGGAUCCCCAAGCUUUCAAAUUGAUCUCCCUGCUCCCCAACUUUUCCCACAUCAAUUCUGCUUAUAACUGCAGAGUUAACAUACAUUAUAGCACAUGCUACAUAUGCCAUGCUUCUGGUCAAAAGCCUUCAGCAGGUCCUCAUUUUCUAUAAAAUUAAAACUAAAUUAUGUAUCCUAGCAUAUUGGGCCUUUCCCAGGAUGACUCCAAAAUGCUUUAUCUAGUCUUAUCUCCCACUCUAAAUGACACAUGUGCCAGCUAGAGUGACAUUUGGCAUUCUCUGCAGGCAUGGAACUUUCUUGCCCUGGUUCUUCUCUUCUUUCUUGCCCUGUCCAUCCUAUAAAUCUCAUCACAAUGUCACCUUUUAAUGCCCCUAAUAGCCCAGUCACAUGUUACUUCUUUAAGCUUGACGUACCUGCAACACAUCCUGGGUAUAGUCUACUUAUUUUAAUUAUAUGGCCUUAUAAUUAUAUAAAAAUUAUAAUUUUAAUUAUACCUUAGCCUUUUUUUCCAGACUGAGCUUUGACAAUGGGUCAGAUAUCAUUUAUCUGUAUCACCAUAUCCUGGAUAGGGCCUGGUGAAUGCAAGAUGCUCAGAAAUAUUUACUUGAAUUGGUUUUGUUUCCCAUUCCUGCCAUAUUUUAGGUGGAUUUGAAAAAAGCUUUCAUGGUACCUCUCAUAUAACCCUAUAUUCUUUAGCAAAGGACUAGCUCCUAGGUGUCAUUUUGUCCAAUCCUUAAUAUUAGGAAUCUCCCUGGCAUCCCUGCCAGGGGAUGAUGUCAAGUCAUUUUCCAUCAGGACAGUCAGAAAAGUGGUUUGAUCCAUCCAGGUGGAAAUAAAUACCUGGGACAAGAGAGGAAUUUUGUGCAGAAAGGCUCCAGAUUUAGUCCCAUUGUGUUUCACUGGGGUCUAGGCUAGAUGUUCUCAAUCCCCAGUGCCAAGAAAAGCCCAGACUGCUAGCAAUAGAGGACUAAGGCCAAACCAACUCGUGUGUUACUUGCAGCAAAACUGCCCUGUGUCCUGUGACUGACCUGCCUCAUCCUUAUGGGGGGCAUCAUGUUUUAAGUACCAAACAUCAAAGAUUCUAUGAAGUUCAUCCAGAAAUCAGUAGGCAAUGAAAUGUGGAAGAAAGAGCAUGGUUUUUGGAGUCAGCCAGACUGGAUUCAGUUUUCAUUGUCUUGCUCAGUGUGAUUGGUUAAGAACUCUAGGGUUAAGCAGAACUAGGUUAAAAUGUUUUUCUGGUAUUUCCUAUCUCUGACUUGGGACAAAUUAUGCAACUUCUCUGUGCUUUCAUUUUCUAAUAUGUAAAAUAGAGAUAGUGACACCAUCCUCAUUGACUUUUUUUAAAUAGAACUUUUUAAAAAUAUUUUUUUAGUUGUAAUUGGAUACAAUACCUUUAUUUUAUUUAUUAUUUUUAUGUGGUGCCUCACACAUGCUGGGCAAGUGCUCCACUGCUGAGCCACAGCCCCGGCUCCUCAUGACUUUUGGUGGCAAUUAAAUGAGAAAAAUGUGUAUCAGCCAGGAUGCCAAGUAACAAAUGAGAACUCAAAAUAGCCAAAACAGUAAAGACAAUUUAUUAUUUUACAUAACAAGUUCAGAAGUAGAGAAUUCUCUGGAUUGGCUCAUUUUUUUUUUAAUAGCUUCUUUAUCUUUAUGUAUUUAUUUAUUUAUUUUUAUGUGGUGCUGAGCAUUAAACCCAAUACCUCACACAUUCAAGGCAAGGCAAGUGCUCUAUCACUGAGCUACAGCCCCAGUGCCUCAUUUAUUGUUUAAGUCAGUUUUUUCACUGCUAUGACUAAAGGACCCGACCAGAACAAAUGUAAAGGAAAAAAGGUUUAUUUGGAGGCUCAUGGUUUCACAGUUCUUAGUCCACAGAAGGCCAGCUCCAUUCCUCAUGGCUUGAGGUGAAGGAGGAGAGGGUAACAAAGGGAAGCAGAGAGAGUCCACUCCCCAAAUACAACUUUACACCCAAAGCCACACCUCAUUUCCCACCUUCUCCAUCCAUACCCUACCACUUCAGUUACCUCUCAGUUAAUCCCUAUCAGGGGAUUAAACCACAGAUUGGAUUAAGACUCUCACAAACCCACCAUUUCUCCUCUGAACCACCUUGCAUUGUCUCACUCUGAGCUUUUGGAGGAUACCACAUCUAAACCAUAACAUUCAUUAAGACCCAGGUUUGGGCUGGGGAUGUGGCUCAAGCCGUAACGCACUCACUGGCAUGCGCGGGGGCCCUGGGUUCGAUCCUCAGCACCACAUAUAAAAAAAAUAAAGAUGUUGUGUCCACCGAAAACUAAAAAAUAAAUAUUAAAAAAAAAUUCCCUCUCUCUCUCUCUCUCUUUAAAAAAAAAAAAAAAAAAGACCCAGGUUUGUUUCAUGGUUAUCCUCUACACUAACCUCAGUGUGAAGGCUUUCCUAGGCUAGAUUUCCUCAUGAUCUUAAGGGGCUGUUACAGUUCCAAGCAUUACAUACAGACCCCAAUAUGCAACAGCAGAAAAAGGUCAUUUUCUUCUUUUGUGUCUAAUAGUGAGAAAACCUUUUCUAGAAAUUCCUUAUUGAUGUUUUCUCCCACAUCUUUGACCAGAGCUGGGUAAUAAACCUGACUGUAAUUCAGUGACUGACAAAGGUGUGGCCAGUCAUACUGGAGAUAGAGUCCGUUUUCCUAAGGAAUGGGUAUCUGAACAAAAUUAGGAUCAUGUUAGCAGAGGGCUAACAGAAAGACACCUAACAAUGCCUGCUAAAACAUUAAGUCUGGCACAUGGUAAUCAUUGAAUAUUUGUUAGUUAUUCUUGUUAUUUAUUCUUAUUCACUGUACAAAUUUAUUCAAGUCACAAAUCUCCUAAAGCCCCUAUUUCCUCCUCUAUAAAUUAGGAAUAGGAUUAUCUAAUUUGUUGAAUGGUUAUAAAAUUAAAUGAAAUCACAUAUGUAGUCUUUGGUGCUUAGUAAAUAAUAGCUAGUUACUAUAAUUAUCUAUAACUAUUGCCAGAAUACUUGGGCUACAGAUCUCCUGUGAAGGAUGUUGGGGUUGGUCCCAGCCUGAAAAAAAUCUCUGAAGAAUGUGCACUAGUAACAAUUUAUAAUUAUUGUUCUACAGUUGUGAUUCUGUAUAUUAAUGUGCCAGACCCUAAUCCGUUCCAUUCCCAGUAAGUAGUUNACACUCCCAACCCCUGGAACUAGGGCCAAAAGACUGAGCUGCUCCCAUAUAAUUGGGGGCCUGGGAACUUCCCAGUUUUUCAGUAAGAGGGUUACUGAAUCCUUCAGGCCAACGCCCACUCCCCCUAGCCACCCCAUCCUGACAUCCUAGGACUGCACUUCAUUUCUAAGUAUCCAGCCCCCUGAGAUACUUGAACUCUUGCUUCUGCGCUCCAAACAGCUGGUGAGAGAAGGCUGCCUUGGGCUCCUUGGGGGCCUCCUGUCUUCAGUGAUGAUUCUCUGUAGCUCAGCUCUGGCAGUCUUACCUCCUCUCCCUGUGUAACUGAUCCCAGUCCUCUGGUUCUGUCAGCGCCUCUGCGAUGUAAACUAUGACAUGUGUGAGCCCCCAGCUGGGCGGGAACCCUAGAAGUGAAGUGUGAGUUUCCUCCCAGGUCAUCAAAGCUGCCUCUCUGCAGCAAGCCAGAUGUUUGGGAUCCACUAGUCUUAGAAACAGUACUUUCACCAGGGGGAUCAGGGAGAAGGGAUCCCCAAGCUUUCAAAUUGAUCUCCCUGCUCCCCAACUUUUCCCACAUCAAUUCUGCUUAUAACUGCAGAGUUAACAUACAUUAUAGCACAUGCUACAUAUGCCAUGCUUCUGGUCAAAAGCCUUCAGCAGGUCCUCAUUUUCUAUAAAAUUAAAACUAAAUUAUGUAUCCUAGCAUAUUGGGCCUUUCCCAGGAUGACUCCAAAAUGCUUUAUCUAGUCUUAUCUCCCACUCUAAAUGACACAUGUGCCAGCUAGAGUGACAUUUGGCAUUCUCUGCAGGCAUGGAACUUUCUUGCCCUGGUUCUUCUCUUCUUUCUUGCCCUGUCCAUCCUAUAAAUCUCAUCACAAUGUCACCUUUUAAUGCCCCUAAUAGCCCAGUCACAUGUUACUUCUUUAAGCUUGACGUACCUGCAACACAUCCUGGGUAUAGUCUACUUAUUUUAAUUAUAUGGCCUUAUAAUUAUAUAAAAAUUAUAAUUUUAAUUAUACCUUAGCCUUUUUUUCCAGACUGAGCUUUGACAAUGGGUCAGAUAUCAUUUAUCUGUAUCACCAUAUCCUGGAUAGGGCCUGGUGAAUGCAAGAUGCUCAGAAAUAUUUACUUGAAUUGGUUUUGUUUCCCAUUCCUGCCAUAUUUUAGGUGGAUUUGAAAAAAGCUUUCAUGGUACCUCUCAUAUAACCCUAUAUUCUUUAGCAAAGGACUAGCUCCUAGGUGUCAUUUUGUCCAAUCCUUAAUAUUAGGAAUCUCCCUGGCAUCCCUGCCAGGGGAUGAUGUCAAGUCAUUUUCCAUCAGGACAGUCAGAAAAGUGGUUUGAUCCAUCCAGGUGGAAAUAAAUACCUGGGACAAGAGAGGAAUUUUGUGCAGAAAGGCUCCAGAUUUAGUCCCAUUGUGUUUCACUGGGGUCUAGGCUAGAUGUUCUCAAUCCCCAGUGCCAAGAAAAGCCCAGACUGCUAGCAAUAGAGGACUAAGGCCAAACCAACUCGUGUGUUACUUGCAGCAAAACUGCCCUGUGUCCUGUGACUGACCUGCCUCAUCCUUAUGGGGGGCAUCAUGUUUUAAGUACCAAACAUCAAAGAUUCUAUGAAGUUCAUCCAGAAAUCAGUAGGCAAUGAAAUGUGGAAGAAAGAGCAUGGUUUUUGGAGUCAGCCAGACUGGAUUCAGUUUUCAUUGUCUUGCUCAGUGUGAUUGGUUAAGAACUCUAGGGUUAAGCAGAACUAGGUUAAAAUGUUUUUCUGGUAUUUCCUAUCUCUGACUUGGGACAAAUUAUGCAACUUCUCUGUGCUUUCAUUUUCUAAUAUGUAAAAUAGAGAUAGUGACACCAUCCUCAUUGACUUUUUUUAAAUAGAACUUUUUAAAAAUAUUUUUUUAGUUGUAAUUGGAUACAAUACCUUUAUUUUAUUUAUUAUUUUUAUGUGGUGCCUCACACAUGCUGGGCAAGUGCUCCACUGCUGAGCCACAGCCCCGGCUCCUCAUGACUUUUGGUGGCAAUUAAAUGAGAAAAAUGUGUAUCAGCCAGGAUGCCAAGUAACAAAUGAGAACUCAAAAUAGCCAAAACAGUAAAGACAAUUUAUUAUUUUACAUAACAAGUUCAGAAGUAGAGAAUUCUCUGGAUUGGCUCAUUUUUUUUUUAAUAGCUUCUUUAUCUUUAUGUAUUUAUUUAUUUAUUUUUAUGUGGUGCUGAGCAUUAAACCCAAUACCUCACACAUUCAAGGCAAGGCAAGUGCUCUAUCACUGAGCUACAGCCCCAGUGCCUCAUUUAUUGUUUAAGUCAGUUUUUUCACUGCUAUGACUAAAGGACCCGACCAGAACAAAUGUAAAGGAAAAAAGGUUUAUUUGGAGGCUCAUGGUUUCACAGUUCUUAGUCCACAGAAGGCCAGCUCCAUUCCUCAUGGCUUGAGGUGAAGGAGGAGAGGGUAACAAAGGGAAGCAGAGAGAGUCCACUCCCCAAAUACAACUUUACACCCAAAGCCACACCUCAUUUCCCACCUUCUCCAUCCAUACCCUACCACUUCAGUUACCUCUCAGUUAAUCCCUAUCAGGGGAUUAAACCACAGAUUGGAUUAAGACUCUCACAAACCCACCAUUUCUCCUCUGAACCACCUUGCAUUGUCUCACUCUGAGCUUUUGGAGGAUACCACAUCUAAACCAUAACAUUCAUUAAGACCCAGGUUUGGGCUGGGGAUGUGGCUCAAGCCGUAACGCACUCACUGGCAUGCGCGGGGGCCCUGGGUUCGAUCCUCAGCACCACAUAUAAAAAAAAUAAAGAUGUUGUGUCCACCGAAAACUAAAAAAUAAAUAUUAAAAAAAAAUUCCCUCUCUCUCUCUCUCUCUUAAAAAAAAAAAAAGACCCAGGUUUGUUUCAUGGUUAUCCUCUACACUAACCUCAGUGUGAAGGCUUUCCUAGGCUAGAUUUCCUCAUGAUCUUAAGGGGCUGUUACAGUUCCAAGCAUUACAUACAGACCCCAAUAUGCAACAGCAGAAAAAGGUCAUUUUCUUCUUUUGUGUCUAAUAGUGAGAAAACCUUUUCUAGAAAUUCCUUAUUGAUGUUUUCUCCCACAUCUUUGACCAGAGCUGGGUAAUAAACCUGACUGUAAUUCAGUGACUGACAAAGGUGUGGCCAGUCAUACUGGAGAUAGAGUCCGUUUUCCUAAGGAAUGGGUAUCUGAACAAAAUUAGGAUCAUGUUAGCAGAGGGCUAACAGAAAGACACCUAACAAUGCCUGCUAAAACAUUAAGUCUGGCACAUGGUAAUCAUUGAAUAUUUGUUAGUUAUUCUUGUUAUUUAUUCUUAUUCACUGUACAAAUUUAUUCAAGUCACAAAUCUCCUAAAGCCCCUAUUUCCUCCUCUAUAAAUUAGGAAUAGGAUUAUCUAAUUUGUUGAAUGGUUAUAAAAUUAAAUGAAAUCACAUAUGUAGUCUUUGGUGCUUAGUAAAUAAUAGCUAGUUACUAUAAUUAUCUAUAACUAUUGCCAGAAUACUUGGGCUACAGAUCUCCUGUGAAGGAUGUUGGGGUUGGUCCCAGCCUGAAAAAAAUCUCUGAAGAAUGUGCACUAGUAACAAUUUAUAAUUAUUGUUCUACAGUUGUGAUUCUGUAUAUUAAUGUGCCAGACCCUAAUCCGUUCCAUUCCCAGUAAGUAGUUCCCCUUUGUUUCAGGAGGCCCAAUGACACAAUGAUCUGUGCUAAGUGGUCCAUUCCCCUGGCUUCCUUGCCCUUAGAUGGUACUAGAGGCAAUCCCACCUCCCCUAAUAAAGGGUUCGAUGGCCAAGACUAAAAAGCCAGAUCACUUUGAGUCCUCAACUCAGGAUGGGAACUUGAUGGGCAGGAAGCAUCUCCUGUCUCCUUUGCUUCUCCACAGCACCCAGGACCAUGGCUGUGUGUCAGAUCCCAGCUCCUAUCCCAGCUCUGUCACUUACUGGGAGUGUGACCUUACGCAAAGCAUGUUAUUCUAAUUCCCAAUAUGUGUAAAAUGGAUUGGAGGGUCAUCUUUUGUCACUUUCCCUCAACCUCAAGCCUCCAAUCCUUGCAAAGACUUGGUGUUCCUGAAUGACCACACUGCCUCUCCCCAUCCUUUACCUAUGCUACUUCCUCUGCUGAGAUCAAUGCCAACCUCAUAACUAUUCUCACCUGAGUCACCCCUCCUCUCCAUUGAGGAUGAGGUUCAGGAAAGUACUUCCUCUUUCUCCACUUCCCAUCCACAACUUAAGUGAUCUUAAAGCACCUUGCACUCAGUUGUAUCACUGCAUUGAUCUCCCAGGAUUGUAACUCUCACUUUUCUGUCUUCACCACUAGAUUGAGAGCAAGGUCACACAUAAAUACACCCCUGACUUAUUCACUGCUUUACUUUUUUACUCAUCUGAUGAGUAAAGGGCAUGAUCAAGUAUUAUCACUGCACUGAAGUCUUAAUAAGACUUCAGGGAGCUCUGCAGUUCCCAGUAAAAUUGCCAUGGGUGUUGCAUGGAGCCCCAGAUAGCACCCUGGAAUCAUUCCCCCUUCGUCCUUCUUCACUCCUGGAAUCCCAACCACAGCAAAAAAGCAUGAUGACUUACUUCCUGAGGAGACUGUCCCAGCAAGUAGAGCAUUUCAAUAAACAAAUAAUAAAAGUGUAGAACAAAUGGAAGAGGGAAAUAUAGGCCCCCAAGAGGAGGAUUGGAAUCAGACUUGGCAAAGGGCUACGAAUACAUCCAAAGCUGACAGAUUUAUGAUAGGGAAUUUUGUGUUUCCACAUGGACCUCGCCUGCCUCUAGUACAAUAACAGGCAGGAUGGGACAUAGCAGCAGAGUGAUUUGGAGGAGGUAGGACACCUAGAUUCAUUUUACUUGGAAAGAACUCUGAAUUUUUACAGUACAUCUUCAAACAUACGAAUCUUGAAUGGUCUUAAGGGGAUACAGAUACCUUAAUGCCCACAUGUGCUCUCACUUUCUCUUUUCUUCCUACUCUCUCCCUACCCCCUUCUUUUCUUACACGCUCACUCUCUUUCCCCCCAUCCCUCUCUUCCUUUUGCAGGAUUAAUUUAAAAAAAAAAAAAUCAUGAUCAUAUUCCCAUCCUUCCCCCAACAAAUUAGAAAAGAGACACUUAGCUUAUUUUUUAUAUUUCUGGAGCUCAGAAGGAUUUAGGCAUACUAGAUUCUUCUAUUUGUCUGAGUUGACCCAAAUGUCUCCAUUCCACAUUUUAAGGUCCCAUUCCUUCCAAUCUGGUGCCUUAACUUCCAUGUAAGAAGCCUGAGGAAUUUAUGAUUCCUAAUAACAUUAUAUCUUUGUGCCCAGAGGAUCAAAAUUUUCAAUUAUAUUAGUCCUACAUAGCUCAGACUUUUAAAAAAUAUUUUAGAACUAUAACAGAAGCUCUCUGUUUCUUUGAAUACACUUAGAACUAAGAUUUUAGAACUCUAAACAUGUAAUCCUUUUUAUGAGAUAUUUGACACAGUCAGAAGCAGCCAGUCCAUUUAAAAUCCUUUUAAUUAGCCAGUGCAGUGAUGCAUGCCUACAAUUCCAGUGACUUGGGACUCUGAGGCAGGAGGAUUGCAAGUUCAAGGCCUCAGCAACUUUGUGAGACCCUGUCUCCCCAAAAAAAGAAAAAAAAGUGUCUGGGGAUGUAGCUCAGUAGAAAAGUACCCCUGAGUUAAAUCCCCAGUACCAAAAAAUAAAAAUAAAAAUCCUUUUAAUCACAAAGACUUGCCUUCAACAAGCAUUUCAUCCUAGGUACUCACAUGUGAGUUUAAAUAACUUUUCUUUUAUUUUUGGUUCUCUUUAGUUAUACAUGACAGUGGACUCCAUUUUGAUAUAAUUAUACAAGCAUGGGUAUCUUAUUCUAGUCGGGAUCCCAUUCUUAAGAUUCACUGUGAUGUUUUUAUAAAUGUACAUAGCAAAAUUAGGUCAGAUUCAUUCCACUGUCUUUCCUUUUCUUAUCCUCCCUCCCUUCCCUCCAUUCCUUAUUGUCUAAUCUACUAAACUUCUGUUCUCUUUUGAUGCUGCAUGCCAUGUCAUGGACCAUUAAUUGUUGGGAAAUGAAAUUCACCAGAGGCUUCCAGAUAUGUCUUUGUAUAGCCUCAUAAAAUGUGCCAUACUGCAAGGGCUAACAUCCUCUGGCCCUAAGUCAUUUCUGUAUAGUUACAAAGACAAUAAGAUAGGUCAAGGGGGCCACAGCAUGGCUGCUAUACCAACUGUUCAUUCCCCAGGGAGGGAGAUGUGCUUGUUGACUGCUUGUUAAGCCCUUGGCCUAGGGUUUAUCCUUAGGAAGAGCACAACCUUACUACAUGUAGUUGCCAUGUGGGCCAUUGCAUGCCCCCUGAGACUUAUUACUCUUUGCUAUCUUCCAGGAGGUUAGGGCUCUUCCCUGACACAGUGUCCCAUUUUCCAUUGCAAUGAGGUCAUCACUGAAUUUUAGCCUGCUAAGGUCAUAUUACAAUUCCAGAUUCCCAUCUUUGAGGGUCAGUUUCCCAUGCCCACUUUUCUGUCAGUGAGUGUUCCAUCAGGAAAACAAUCAUUCUAGAUCAGUGUUAGCCAAUAUGAUAGCCAUGAACCCAGGGGCACUUUAUCCCUGGAUUACAUCCUCAGGCUCCUCCCCAUACCCUAUCUAAAAAAAAAAAAAAAAUUGAGACAGGGUCUCUUAAGUUGCAGAGACUGGUCUUGAACUUGAGUUCCUCCUGCUUCAUUCUCCUGAAUUGCUGGGAUUAAAUGCAUGUGUCACCAUGCUCAUCUACCACAUGUAGCUAUUUUCAUUUAAAUUAUUAAAGAAAAUGGAAAAUUCAGUUCCUUAAUCACAUUAGCCACAUAUUGUUAGGAGGCACUGUAUUGGACUGUAGAAUUAGGCUGUUUCUAUCAUCACAAAACGUUCUAUGGGACAGUGCUGCUCUAGAUAAUUUCAAGCAGAAAUAGAUUUAAUGCAGGAAACUGUUUACAAAGAUGUUGAGAACUUGAAGGUGCCCACAUUGGAAAGGGCAUGGAAGGUUAGAGGAGAGAAGAGGAAGGUGCUGCCACCCUGGGUGAAACGGUCUCCUGUAGGUACUAGUUUACCAGGGACAUGCUGCUGAGAAGGAAUAGUGGCUCUGGAGGAUCCUAGGUGCUGGUGCUGUUACCACUACUGCUAGAGUUGCCACCAAAAAGUAGAACAAAACAGAGCUUCUUAUCCCUACACACUUUCACUCCCACCAACACCUUCUAUCUAGCAAGGGGGUUCAAAGAAUAUAAUUUGCAAGUUUCUAUACUUCCUGUAAUACUAAGGAGGGCAGAGAGGGUGGGAAUAUAUCUUACAACAAAUAGACAAAUAACUGCAAAGUGGGGAUUUUAUCGAUAUUAUUAGGACAGGAAACAGGGCCCCCUACCUUUGCUUAUAUUUAUUGGCUUAGCUUUAGUAACAGCUCUUCCCCUUCAUGCUCCAGCAUAUAGAACUUCUUUCCAUUUUUCCUAUCACCUGGAAACUUGUUCCUCCUCAGAUCUUACACUUUUCUUCUCUCUCUCUUUACAUGGCUGGCUAUCCAUAUCCUUCAGAUAUCAGUCAGAUUUGACUUGCCCAGAGAGACCUUCCAUGACCUUGCCAACCUGCCUAAAAUAGCUUCAUCUCUUGACCUCCUGUCCAACCAUCUACCAUCAUGGCACUCUGUUUAUUUUACAAUUCUUGUUUUAUUUUAAAUUAUCUUCUGUGUUUAUUUUCUGUCUCUCCUUACUAGAAUGUAAGUUCCAGGAAGGCAGGAAGCUAACUGCCUUAUAUUGUGAAGUUCUGUAUUCUCAGCACUUAUAAUAGUUCCUGGUAUAUAAUAGGCACUCAGUAAAUAUAUAUUACCUGAAUGAAUAGUUUUCAUUCACUCUUCACGUGUGAAAUCUUUCCUCUCUCCCUAACUGGGUGAGGUAUUUCUGCUAUAUGUUCCCAGAGAACCCACCCUUCUGUCAUUAUAACAAUUAUUACAGAUGGCCCUCUGCACCCACAAGUUCUGCGUCCACAGAUUCAACCAAAUGAGAUUCAAAAAUAGUUGAGGAAAAAAUGCAUUUAUAAUAAAAAUGUACAGAUUUUUUUCUUGUCAUUAGUUCCUAAGCAAUAUGGUAUAACUAUGUACAGAACACUUAUAUUGUGUUGUGUUUAUAACUAAUCUAAAGAUGACUCAAAGUAUAUGGGAGGAUGCAUGUAGGUUAUAUGCAAAUACUAGUCCAUUUUAUAUAAAGGGCAUCUGUGGAUUUUGGCACCUGUUAGAGUGGUCCUGGAAUCAACCACCCAUGAGUUCCAAUGGAUAACUGUGCUUCAUAUCUGAUCCCUUACUGGACUAUAAACUCAUUGAAAUCAGAGACCAUGUCUGUUUUUCUCCUAGAUGAGUCCCUGCUGCCUAGCAUAGUAUCUGGGUUAUAGCUAGAAAUGAUAAAUUCCUGAUACUGUUCCACCAAUGAGUUUGGAAGAAGAUUUAGUGAUGGUUAUAUAGAAACUAAUCAAAAGAAAACAUUAAGGCAGUUAUUAACUCUAGGAAAAAACUAAAAUCUUAACAAGAAUGAAAACUUAACUAUAGAGCUUUACACAACUUGAUUGUGACUAAUAUUCAUAGAGUCAUAAUCAGAGCCAAUAAGACUGUGCUAGUUCUGUUGGACCUUAUUAAUUGUUAAACAAUUGAAAUAUUUCUAUGCUGGUUAGUAGACACUAACUACCCUGAACUCUGUAUUCUGCUGCCACUGCCCUGGUUGCCCCUGCCCAUACUUCCCUAUCUUAGAGCUCUCUAGAACUUCCCAGGAUCUAGCACUAAAAAUACAAUACCAGGUAUAGCCAGGGGCUCUAGAACCUUGCCCAAAAGGCUAGCAUCUGUUUAGAUCAGUUAGUACUUAUACCAUCAGCCUCCAGUCCCUUCUGGGCACUGCCUUUGGCUCCCUCUGAAGGCCUAUGUCAGCCUUACUUGCUACACCUGCCUGCCCAGGUACCCUGCAUGGGAAACAUCUGUUCUGGUGCCCCCCGCCUGCCUGCCUCACCUCCCAUGCAUAAUCCCAGGUCCCUAAGUAUUCUGCCUGCCCCCAGCAGGCUUAGACCUUACCAGGAGAGACAGCAAUCCUGGAGGGGAUGUUGGCAUCUCAGAGAAAAAAAAUAUUUUUCAUGGUAAUUCUGCUUAUAAUAUGUAAGUACUGAACAAUUAUUUAACCAAAAAUUAUGAUAUAAUUAUAGGUCUAGUAUACUGGAUUAUAGGCAAGAAAAUGAGAAAUCUAUUGUCAAAGUCAGUAGAUAAUGUUUGAACUUAAGAUCAGGAGACAGCAGUAUAAGUAUCUUUUGGGAAAAUGGAAGCAUAUACCAAAGAAACAACUGAAUGAAUUAAAAAGUAUUUUGUUGUCUCUGAGGAGCAAAGUUAGAAGUGGGGAAGGAUAGGGCAGGACUCUACUAUUUUUAUUAUGAACCCUAGAGAAAAUUUUGACUUUUGAGCUAUGUGCAUUUACUCUUUUUUAAAAAAAAAUUAAAUUUAGGAGAUGGUUGCAAGAAUCCUGAUGAGAGGCAAUAGCCAAUAGCAAACGUAAUGAGAAAGAGAAAAGUGGAUCCAAGAAUAUUUAGAUAAUUCAGUAUAACAUGGUGAUUGUUCAGUGCAAGACGUUGAGGAAGCAGGGAGAGAAAAGAGACACAGAUUGGUUAGCUGGGUUGGAAAUGAUUCUUUCUCAGUGAACACUUGGAUGCCAAAGGUCCCUCUAGGCAUCACAUAUAGCAGAAAUGACUAACCCUUUUGGGGAGAAUUGGAACUAGUUCACAGAGAAUCAGAGAUUUGAGCUGAGUCUUCAGGGAGUAUAGACAUGCCCAUUUCCACAGGGGCUGAGCUCUAGGUGAGAAGGCAUUAUAAUGGAAGUUAUUCUUGGACAAGGGUGGUAAAGAUCAAUAGGAAAUACAAAGGCACAAAAGCAUGGGAGCAUCAUUUUGUGGGGGAAAUAGUCAGUUGUCCCAUGCAGUGUGGGUGUUUGGGAGGCAGUUUGGGAGAAAAAAAAAUAGUAGGAAACCAAGCAAGAAGAGAAAUUUGCAGCCAGAGUCCAAGGACCUAUAAUGCAGCCCAAGUGGUCCUCUCCCUUGAACUUAUGGCAGUGUAACAGGCACAAACCUUUUGGGAAACAAUUUAGAAAUUUACUUUAGAGGCCAUUAAAAAUGUUUCUAACCUCUAUAUUAGUGAAUCUAUUCCUGGGAAUUGUUCCUAAGGAGAUGCAGUUUUUAAAGGAUGGGUGAGCACUAUCCACUAAAAUAUUUAUUGUAUCAUUAUUGAAAAUAGUGAAAGAUUGGAAAAUAACCAAAAUUUCCAUCAGUGGAGAAUAUGUAAGUAAAGUGCCGCAGUCUGGCUGGGCACAAAUGCCGCAGUCUGGCUGGGCACACAAUCACGAGCCACCACACAGCUUGUAGAUUCAAACAGCAACUCUUUAUUCCCGAACUCACACCAGCCAUCUACAAUCACGUUCUGGGGAAAUCCACGUUCUCUGCCCAAAUCCACCUCCACUGGGCUUCUGUCUCCCAAAAUAUACUGUCUGAAUCCCGUGAGAACUCAAGAGGAACUCAGGCAGCAGGAUACACCCUAUUCCCAGCAGGAAUAAUCUUAAACCUUAAACCUGGAACCUAAACUGGGAACGCCCUAAACACGAUUAUCUUAAAACCGGGAACACCCUAAUCUGCCUUGGUCCUUGAGCAAGGUCACGUACAUUCAAUGUCACUGCAACAUGAGGUACGCUGGCAAGGAAAUUGUCAUACCUACUUGGCUAAUGGCUCCCAGCAGUAAAGGAUGGCACAUUCACUCAAUGAGCAAUAAAUAUGCAGACCAAUAUGCCUGUCAGAAUUUGGGUGAGCUUCCCAGGAGUUCUUUUGGGCCUGGGGAAGGAAAGGUAGUCAAAUGUAGGCAAGAGAGAAAAAAGCAAGGUGGAUGCUGGGUGAACCUCUAUAAGGGGAGCUACCUUUUUUUGAGCAUUUCCUUUUGGUAUCACUUAAUUCUUUCUGCAGUCCAAUACAGGUGGUACUAAAACCAUAUUCAUUUUUUCAAAUAAGAUCCUAAGAACUCAAAGAGAUGGAGUAAUCCACCCAAGAGCAUGUAGAUUCAAAGUAGAGGAGCUGAGAUUAACUCAAGUCAAUGUGGUGGCAGGGCAGUGUUUUUCCUUUGCAACAUGAUGCUAAUCAUCAAUAAAGAUCAUGUUAUCUAAGGGAAGUCCCUUUUACAUGGCUACUGGCAUUUUUGUUCAGUUUUGGGUAAUAAGGGCAAGACUGCAUGGACACUGGUGAAUAGCAAAAUGGAAAAUACUAAAAUACAAUGCUGAGCAGUAAAAAUAGAAUGUGUGAGGAUCACGAGUUCAAAGCCAGCCUCAGCAACAGUGAGGCACUAAGUGAGACCCUGUCUCUAAAUAAAAUACAAAAUAGGGGAUGUGGCUCAUAGUUGAAUGCCGCUGGGUUCAAUCUCUAGUACCAAAAUAAUAAUAAUAAUAAAAAUAGAAUGUGUAGUUGUACCAGAGAUAAAAGCAACCAAAAGCAAUUAUGUCCCAGAAAAGAGCAGAAAUGAGCAAGGAGAAAUGGGAACAGGUAAUGUGUGAGUGUUCUUUUUCCUCUUUCUCUUAUUUUUAGGGUUUCCAUUCUUAUCACUGUAUCAUUUGCACAAUAAAAACCAAUUUAUAAUGAAAGAGGGAAAGGACGGAGAAAAUGUGAACCUCUGGGGUGGCCCACAGCAUGCCUGGAGUCCAUCUGUAGCUGUGGGUCUUCCAGAGUCAUUCUGAUGGCAGCACUGGUAAAGAAGCUGGCUCCUCCUGGACAGUGGAGGGAAGGAGAAAAAUGCAGCAUGUGACCCAGGCCAAGAGGCUUUGGUUCUCUGUAGUGUUGGUGUCAUUGCCACAUCUGACAUGAAUCUCUUGCCUGGCUGGGGAGGUACAGCUGGGAUCCAGCACCAUCUAGCCUGGGAGUGUUUUCAUCUGUUGGUUCCCUGUCAUUUUUCAUAUGUCAUUAGCUUUCCUGGCGGGGGCUUUAGUUAACUGCACUGGAGGAAGGGCCUGCUUGAGAUUCUGAUUGAGAGACAGAGGCCAAGGUGACAUCAGCCAGAAAAGCAAAAUGCAACAGCAAUGCCCAUGCCUGGGUUUCUUUUAUUCAUACUCAUAUUCACACCUCACUUGAUUUCAUUCUGUCCUUUAGGUCACCAUUCCUUUCCAGAUGCCACACAUUUGCCCACAUUGUUCUCUCAGUCUGGAGUGCCUUUUCUCCUGCUUCUUGAGAAAGCUAAACCCUGUUCAUGCUUUAGUACCAUUUCCUUGAUGAACCUUUUCCCAAUGUCCUUUUGGGGAAUGAAUCAUUCCCUCCUCUGGCUCACAAAGCACUUGACUUGUAUUUUUCCUAUGGCAAUUGUAAUUUUUUUUUUUUUGCAGUACAUUAUAGUUAUUUAUGUCCAUGUCUGUUUCUCCUACUAACUAGUGAGCUUCUCAAGGUGGCCAAGGAACAUGUUUUAUUCAAUUCUGAUUCCCCACACAGCAUAGCCAAGUCUGGCAUAUGGUAGGUGCUCAAUCAACAUGUGGAAUGACAUUAAAUUACAAUGGCUGAGUUCUUCCUCUUUAUAUGUGAUGGACUCUCUGGGAAAGCUAUUGGGAUUAUAGGCAGAUGACCAAUUGGUUUUAUAUCCAUUUCUUUCCUGAGCAUUCUGAAAGAGGCAGGAAGAGGAAGAGAGUUAAAGUUAUCUGUAGAUCUAUAUUCCAGAGAUUUCAGCCAGUGCUCUUUAGAGGGGGUGAUAAUAUGAUUAAAAACUAACAUAUACAAAGACUCUUAUUCUGUCAUACCCAUAUUAACUCUGUCAAGUCUCACAAAGACACUAUAGGAUAGGAAGUAGGCUGGGUGGGCAAUAUUUACUUGUUCCAGUUUUACAGCUGAGGAAACCAAAGCUCAGAAAAAUGAAAUGAUUUGCCCAAGAUUAUAUCAACUCAAGGUAGGGCUGGGAUUCAAAUUCAUAUCUCUGAUCCACAUCCCAUUCUCCUGGCAUUGUUGAGGUGACAAUGGCGUAGGCAACCAUUCUCCCUGAUAAAGGUUUGCAAAGGGAAGGAAGGAACCCUGUGGUUUAACCUUGAUAGCAUAUAUUUGCAUCCAGCCCCAGUUAUUAUCCAUUUACCUGCUCCACUAGUGGUUUAAUUUCUCAAGGUCAAAAGCCAUCCCUUUUCCUUUCUCUCUCUCAAACUCAGGUCUUUGGCAAGCCCCACACUUUUGCUGGGUCUUGGUUUUCAUGUCGAUAAAUGAGGCUGAAGUUUAAAUUGGGUCACAUUUAUGCCAGCGCCCAGCACAGAUUCUGCCCACAAUUUCCAUCACCCUCCCAGUGGACGACUCCCAGUUCCAACACUAGAGGCCUCCAGGACUCCAGCUGACAUGAUGGAGUGUGGACCCUAAAUGCUGAACCCUCUUCCCAGGCUGGCUGCGGAAACUGAACCUCCUCCAGACAGCAGGGCUGCUCCACUCACGCGGAUCAAGUCCAGAGCCUCAUUAGUCAUGUCAGAUGACAUAGUUAACACUUGGGGCCAGCACAGCCAGUUCAUCAAAAGCCCCUAUGUGCCUGGCUCCAUCACUGCAGCUGAGGAACUACUGUAUGUAGAGCAGGCAGCACAUCAGAGGAACAGCGCCAGAGUGCUUCCAAAUUGGUUUUGAUUAAUUGCAUAGACAUGUCUUUAAUUGGUGCCAGGAUAGCGGCCAGAGAACUUAUGGGAAAGCAGGAUGUUAUGCUUUCGUUCCCUGAUGUCCCAUAAAGCAGUGAAAGAUGAGGAACAGAAUCACUGCUCGUUGGAAAUUUAUCGACCGUGCAGAUCCAGAAAACACAAAUAACUAUCUGAAUCGAAACCUAACCUCAUUUUCCCAACUCAUUGGAAACCAUGCAUGUUCCCCUCUGCCCUGCCUGCCCGCCUGCCUGCUAAGAUGUGCAGUUGAGCAAAAUGUGUGAUUUCUAAGAAAUGAGCUAGACCUGAAACAGUGUCCUCAGCUUUCCCCAGGUCCUCCUAGAGAAGACCUGGAGAUAUCAGCCCCUUGAGAAGCUCCUCUUCCUCCAGCUCAACACCCUCCCAUGAACUGAUAUCUGAAGCAUUCAUUCACACAUUCAUUCUUUCUUUUCUACCUCUUGUAGGUUUAAGACAUAUGUACUGAAUAUGUACUGUUCUGGUGCCAGAAGGAAUAUAGAAUGGAGACAAGUACAGAGCCUUCCUUUGGGAAGUGGUUCUUUAAGAGAAGACAGAUCCAUGGAUGAACUAAUGCAUUGCCAGUGGUACCACAUAAGAGAUGAAGCAUUGGAAUUUGGCAUCAAGAGGACUUGGGCUUGAAUCUCAACUCUGAUUUAUAUUACUAAGCUGCCUCAGGUAGUCUCUUUGAUGGUCUGAGUUUUAACUACAGAAUAGAAUAAUACUGCACAUGGCAGUUGUGAGGCCAGUAAAAGCACAAGGCCUGGCAGUGAUCAAUAAAUGUUGCCACGUCUGAAUAAGCACCAUCAGGGAGGUUCUGAUAGAGUGCUAUGAGAGAUUUCAUAUAUUCCAGAAACAAAUGGUUACUGAUCACAGAUCCUAUGCCAGGCUCUGUGCUAUGCAUUGGAAAUUUACAUAGGAGCUCAGUGCUGUCCUAAAGAGUAGCAAUGAUUUGGAAUGGUAACAAUGGCAGAGCAUUUCACUGUGCACACACAAGUCACUCAGAAUUAAUGGGGAGGCAGUGGUCACUUCUACCUGGGAAAUCAAGAUAGAUUUGCCUGAAGAGGCAAUACUUGAAUUGAGUUCAGAUGCAUGAUAAGAUUUUCAUUUGCAGAUAAAGAAGGAAGGGUGUUCCAGGCAUACUGCUAUUGUUUUCUUCUGCUAUGGUCUGGAUGUGGUUUGUCUCCCAAAGGUUCAUCUGACUGUUAGCUUGGUCCCUAGCAUGGUGGUAUUGAGAGGUGGUAAAAACUUUGGCUGCUUUGUGCCAUGUAUAACCUGAUAUUUUCAUAUUUUUAAUUUAUUUAUUAUCUGUCUCUCCCACUAGAGUGACAGACAGGUUCAUGAGAACCUGAGAUCCUGGCUGUCUCUUCCUCCACUCUGUUAAAACAUCUGGAGCAUUGCCUGUAGGUGUUCCAUACAUGUCUGUUACAUGACAAAAUAAACAACUGGAGGCACAGGAGUGCAUGCUGCAGUCAAAAAACCUAACAUAAGCAUAGGGCCUGGCACACUAAAAGCACUGGGUUUUUUUCAUGAAAUUAAUAAGGCAAGAGGAAUUGAGGUAGGUGGUAACAGAAGAUGUGACCGCUGAGCUGCACCCUGAAAGCAGAGAAGUAUAACAAUGUAAUGGGAUUGUUGGUGGGAGGACCAGGAGGAACAGAUCAGAAAACUUUGAAACCCUUUCCAAUCUCGAGCUUCCAAAAAUUUCUCCAGAACAGAUCAUCUCUUACCACCCUUCCUGGUCCCCUCACUCACACCCCUUCUUUCCACUCCACCCUGUCUGGAGGCUGUAAGACAUCUGACACAUCAUUUCCUGCCAAUGUAAAUCACAGACUGAUGUGUGAUACUCUUUCUCAGUUUUUACCAUCCCCCAGGUAGAGAUGGCCCCAUAGUCAGGGUGGAGGCCCCAAGCAAAGCCAGUCUUUCCACAGGGUGGCAAACAGAGGGGAACUGUUUACCCACCAGCACCUUCCUGGCUCUGCUCCCAGAUAAUUUUAUGUCCUUUGGUCCUGAAUCUGGGCCUUAGUUGGAUGCACCUCAGUUCACUUGCUGGAGCACUGACGUGUGACUGUUUUAACUGCUGCUGCUUCCUGUCCCAGCAAUCCUGUGCUUCAGGGACCAUGGGAAAGAGACAAGAAAGAGAGCUUUAUAUGAGGUAAGUCUUGGCAGUAAUAAUAAAGGCCAAAGACUAACUUCCACUUACAUAGUGCUUAACAAUUUACAUAGCCUUAGAGAACUCCUAUUCAUCCUUCAAGAUCCUGCACAAAUGUUUUCUCUUUUUACCAAACUUCAACUCUAUCAGGUAGAGCGUUCCCUCUAUUCUUGGUAAAAACUCUGUUGUUGCCGUUAUUGCCUUGCAACACUCUUUAUUUGUGUACCUGUCUGAUUUCCUCCAUUAAAUCUUCAAUUCCUUGUGUGUAUAUGUCUUCUCUCCCAGUAAAAUAUAUUUCUUUAUUUAAAAGCAAUGUCAAUGUUCAUUAUACAUAAUUUUCUAAUUAUAAAAGUAAUAUUUAUAGUCACAAUAAUAAAAUUGUAUAAAAGUAUAAUGAAAUUUUAAAUCCUCUAUAAUUUCAUCACCCAGAUAAAACCACUAUUAACAUUUUGGGUGUAUCUUGAGCCUUUUUUAGCAUAUAAGAAGUAAAAAUGAGACUAUACAAUGUAUAUGUUUUUAUAGUGUGAUUUUAUUAGCUGUUGUGAACAUCUUCAAACAACAUGGAUGAUUCUUUAAAAAUAUCAUUUUAAAUGGCUGCAUUAUUUUAUUCAGUGUGUAUACAAUAAUUAACCUAACAAUUUCCCAAUUGUGGGGCAUUUUCUUUUUACUCUUUUACAAAAAAAAUGCUGCAAUGAAUAAACUGCAUAUGUAUACA